RNAcentral lists this ribosomal RNA (111 nucleotides) under Pteropus alecto (black flying fox). Lineage: Eukaryota; Metazoa; Chordata; Mammalia; Chiroptera; Pteropodidae. The record is from RNAcentral.
GCUUUUAAAAAUAAUUUUUUCUGAACACGUCUGAUCUUGGAAGCUAAGCAGAGUUGGGCCUGGUUAGUAUUUGGAUGGGAAACCACCUAGGAAGACCAGGUGCUGUAGGCU